GAUGAACGCUGGCGGCGUGCCUAAUACAUGCAAGUCGAGCGAACAGACGAGGAGCUUGCGCCUCUGACGUUAGCGGCGGACGGGUGUGUAACACGUGGAUAACCUACCUGUAAGACUGGGAUAACUUCGGGAAUCCGGAUCUAAUACCGGAUAAUAUAUUGCACCGCAUGGGGCGAUAGAGAAAGACGGUGUUUCUGUCACUUCUAGAUGGUUCUGCGCCGCAUUAGCUAGUUGGGAGGGUAACGGCUUACCACGGCAAGGAGGCGUAGCCGAGCUGAGAGGGUGAUAGGCGACCCUGGAACUGAGACACGGACCAGAGUCCUACGGGAGGCACCAGUAGGGAAUCUUCCGCAAUGGGCGAAAGCCUGACGGAGUAGCGCGAAGUGAGAUAUGAAGGUGUUCGGAUCGUAAAAAUCUGUUAUUAGGGAAGAACAACUGUGUAAGUAAAUAUGCACGUAUUGACGGUAACUAAUCAGAAAGCAACGGCUAACUACGUG
RNAcentral lists this ribosomal RNA (497 nucleotides) under uncultured bacterium. Its description in RNAcentral is "partial 16S ribosomal RNA". It matches the Rfam family "Bacterial small subunit ribosomal RNA", at positions 28 to 507 of the family's 1533-position model. The record is from RNAcentral.